This 468-nucleotide ribosomal RNA is filed under the name uncultured bacterium. RNAcentral's name for it is "partial 16S ribosomal RNA". It matches the Rfam family "Bacterial small subunit ribosomal RNA", at positions 28 to 507 of the family's 1533-position model. The record is from RNAcentral.
GACGAACGCUGGCGGCGUGCUUAACACAUGCAAGUCGAACGGAAAGGCCCUGCUUUUGUGGUUUUCUCGUUUGGCGAUCGUGUGUGUAACACGUGUGUUACCUGCCCUUGACUUUGUUAUAACUUCAGGAAACUUGGUCUAAUACCGUAUAGGAGCUCCUGCUUCAUGUUGUUGGUUGGAUUUUUUCGGCGGUUGGGGAUGGACUCGCGGGUUAUCAGCUUGUUGGUGGGGUAUUGGCUUACCAAGGCUUUGACGGGUAGCCGGCAUGAGAGGGUGACCGGCAAAAAGGGGACUGAGAUACGGCCAAGAAUGCAAGGGGAGGAAGCAGUGGGGAAUAGUGAACAAUGGGAGGAAGGCGGAUGAAGAAACGCGGCGUGCGGGAUGACGGCCUUCGGGUUGUAAAACGCUGGAGAAUGUGACGAAGAGUGAGUGACGGUAAUGGGUAAAGAAGCAACGGCUAACUACGUG